GAUGAACGCUGGCGGCGUGCCUAAUACAUGCCAGUCGAGCGAACGGACGAGAAGCUUGCUUCUCUGAUGUUAGCGGCGGACGGGUGAGUAACACGUGGAUAACCUACCUAUAAGACUGGGAUAACUUCGGGAAACCGGAGCUAAUACCGGAUAAUAUUUUGAACCGCAUGGUUCAAAAGUGAAAGACGGUCUUGCUGUCACUUAUAGAUGGAUCCGCGCUGCAUUAGCUAGUUGGUAAGGUAACGGCUUACCAAGGCAACGAUGCAUAGCCGACCUGAGAGGGUGAUCGGCCACGCUGGAGCUGAGACACGGUCCAGACUCCUACGGGAGGCAGCAGUGGGGAAUCUUCCGCGAUGGGCGAAAGCCUGACGGAGCAACGCCGCGUGAGUGAUGAAGGUCUUCGGAUCGUAAAACUCUGUUAUUCGGGAAGAACAUAUGUGUAAGUAACUGUGCACAUCUUGACGGUACCUAAUCAGAAAGCCACGGCUAACUACGU
This 496-nucleotide ribosomal RNA is filed under the name uncultured bacterium. RNAcentral's name for it is "partial 16S ribosomal RNA". It matches the Rfam family "Bacterial small subunit ribosomal RNA", at positions 28 to 506 of the family's 1533-position model. The record is from RNAcentral.